Lathyrus oleraceus (garden pea) is the source of this 917-nucleotide long non-coding RNA. RefSeq lists it as uncharacterized. The transcript has 4 exons. Lineage: Eukaryota; Viridiplantae; Streptophyta; Magnoliopsida; Fabales; Fabaceae. The record is from RefSeq and is a predicted model, not a curated record.
CAUCAGAAACUUAUUUCCCUCUUCUUCUUCCUCUCUUUCCCUAAUACUCUUUUCUUUAUCUUCCUUCUUCUUCAUUCCUUUUUUUUUUCAUCUAAUUUAAUUUCUGUUAACAAAGGUGAAUUUUUGAAGAAAAAAAAUGUCUGACUAUUCAUAACAGCAACGGUGGAGAUGUCUGAGCAGAGUUAUGGUCGGAGAGAGUGAUGCAGUGGUGAUGGUACGAGACAAUGCUAGAAACGAUGAUUCCUAUGUUGAGAAUUUGCGGCGCCACCCGUGUGUUGCUGGAAAAUCAUCUGAAGUAAUGUGCGGGUGUGUGAAAAAAUCUUGUGAAAAAAUCUUAAAUCGUAUUUUUCAAAGAUUCUCCAAUUGGAAGGUUGUUCUUCAGCGUGCUCUCAAGCCAAGUUCUUCGAUAUGGUUGGUGAAACCUUAGUGUAUUUUAUUGCAGCGCAGGGUUGAGAAGGCCUUGGGAAGAUGAAAGACUGAAUGAUAUUGUAGGUAGUGCAUACUAUGUGGCUCCAGAAGUUAUUCAUAAAGUUUAUAGUACUGAGGCUGAUUUCUGGAUGAUUGGAGUGAAAGUUGAUCCAAGUUUUGGCGAACCCUGGCCUUCUCUAUCAGAUGAGGCAAAGGAAUUUUGUUAAGAGAUUGCUUAAUAAAAAUCCACGGAAAAGAAUGAGUGCAGCACAGGAAUUAAGUCAUCCAUGGAUAAAAAAACUACGAGAACACGAAAGUAUCGAUGAAUAUUUUAAUAUUCAAACUCAUGAAGGCAUACAUGUGUUCCUUCUCUACGAAAAGCUGCUUUAACUUGAUUUUGAUCCGCAAUAAGCUUCUGUUGAACCAAUUGUAACUAAUUAAUUGUUGUUCAAAUACUGAGUUGUAGCCAUGCUGAGAUUUUCAUAGUUUUUCCAACUUAGCAGACUUAA